GCGGCCUUGGCGCGGGUCUCGGCGACCUCCGACUCCGGGUCGGAGUGGCGUACGAGGGUGGCGCCGACGCCGAUCCCGACCCGGCCGGCGGCG
This 93-nucleotide transfer RNA is filed under the name Streptomyces lateritius. RNAcentral's name for it is "tRNA-Arg(ccg)". Lineage: Bacteria; Bacillati; Actinomycetota; Actinomycetes; Kitasatosporales; Streptomycetaceae. The record is from RNAcentral.